GAUGAACGCUAGCGGAAGGCUUAAUACAUGCAAGUCGAGCGGUAGGUGGCUUCGGCCAUUGAGAGCGGCGCACGGGUGAGUAACGCGUACAUGACCUGCCUGUCAGAAGGGGAUAGCCCUGGGAAACUGGGAUUAAUACCCUAUGGUAUUGAUAUUAUGAAUGAUAUCAAUUAAAGUUGAGGCGCUGACAGAUGGAUGUGCGUCUGAUUAGCUAGUUGGUGGGGUAGUGGCCUACCAAGGCGACGAUCAGUAGCCGGCCUGAGAGGGUAAACGGCCACACUGGGACUGAGACACGGCCCAGACUCCUACGGGAGGCAGCAGUGGGGAAUCUUCCGCAAUGGACGCAAGUCUGACGGAGCAACGCCGCGUGUAUGAAGAAGGCCUUCGGGUUGUAAAGUACUGUUGUUGGGGAAGAACGGCUCAAGUGUAAAUAAUAGCUUGAGAUUGACGGUACCCAACGAGGAAGCCCCGGCUAACGUACGUGCCAGCAGCCGG
This 495-nucleotide ribosomal RNA is filed under the name uncultured bacterium. RNAcentral's name for it is "bacterial SSU rRNA". It matches the Rfam family "Bacterial small subunit ribosomal RNA", at positions 28 to 518 of the family's 1533-position model. The record is from RNAcentral.